Molecule: small nucleolar RNA, 68 nt
Organism: Perognathus longimembris pacificus (Pacific pocket mouse)
Lineage: Eukaryota; Metazoa; Chordata; Mammalia; Rodentia; Heteromyidae
Product: small nucleolar RNA SNORD95
Exons: 1
Source: RefSeq, a predicted model, not a curated record
GGAGCGGUGAUGAUUCCAACAUGCCAUCUGAGAGCCCGUGCUGAAACCCAGAGGCUGUUUCUGAGCUG